This 239-nucleotide ribosomal RNA is filed under the name Glomeromycotina sp. RNAcentral describes it as "partial small subunit ribosomal RNA". The stretch from base 40 to 239 matches the Rfam family "Eukaryotic small subunit ribosomal RNA", at positions 686 to 887 of the family's 1831-position model. The record is from RNAcentral. Lineage: Eukaryota; Fungi; Glomeromycota.
GGGUCAGUAGGUUGGUCGUGCCACCGGUACGUACUGGUCUCACUGAUUCCUCCUUCCUGAAGAACCGUAAUGCCAUUAAUUUGGUGUUGCGGGGAAACAGGACUGUUACUUUGAAAAAAUUAGAGUGUUUAAAGCAAGCUAACGCUUGAAUACAUUAGCAUGGAAUAAUGAAAUAGGACGAUCGAUCCUAUUUUGUUGGUUUCUAGGAUUGACGUAAUGAUUAAUAGGGGUUAGUUGGG